Long non-coding RNA from Pseudophryne corroboree (corroboree frog), 891 nucleotides. RefSeq lists it as uncharacterized. Lineage: Eukaryota; Metazoa; Chordata; Amphibia; Anura; Myobatrachidae. The transcript is spliced from 3 exons. The record is from RefSeq and is a predicted model, not a curated record.
CAAUUACACGUUAAGCUGACAAUUUAAUUUUGUGUAAAACAAUACUGUGAUGUUGCUAAAUAGUGUCCUUAUUUUUUAAAUAUUCUAACAUCAUGAUGAUUUCAACAAAAACACAAACAAAUGAAACUGAAUGUUGACCACUUUGUGAAUGUCCAGCUGAAAGACCACACAAACUGAGGACGACCACAACGGCAAGCACCACAUGAUGCACCAGCUCAGCACCCUUCCCCUUCUCACUCCCCCUCCACUUCCCAGUCCCCCUCCCCUUCUCACUCCCCCUCCCCUUCUCACUCCCCCUCCCCUUCUCACUCCCCCUCAGCUUCCCAAUCCACCUCAGCUUCCCAAUCCACCUCAGCUUCCCAGGCCCCCUCAGCUUCCCAGGACCACUCCACUUUCCACUCCCCUUCUCAGCCAACCUCUCCUUCUCUUUGUGUGACCCCUUCUCCUCCUUCCCAUACCCCUUCUCCUUCUACUUCCAACUCACCUUCUCAGCCCCCCUCACCCUCUAUUGGCCUAACAUUUUCACCGCCCCCCUCGCCCUCUCAAUCAGACCCACCCUCUGAAAUUACAUCCCCAAUCCAACCUCCUUCCCCCAUCCAGCCUCCUUCCCCCAUCAAGCCUCCUUCCCCCAUCCAGCCUCCUUCCCCCAUCCAGCCUCCUUCCCCAAUCCCUCCUCCUUCCCCCAUCCAGCCGCCUUCCCCACCGAGUGAAUGGGCAGAGGAAGCCCCUGAAGCCAGUUCAGGGAGUCUUCAUGUUGCCGAGGAAAAUGUUGCAGUUGGAGUUCCUCCAAGUUUGGGAGCCAUUCUUUCCACCAUGCGCCAACACCUGCAAGGAUUGAUACAUUGUGUUGAUCAAUUGGAAAAAUUUUAUUGAUUUUGUUUAUUUUAUAAA